This is a small nucleolar RNA of Dioscorea cayenensis subsp. rotundata (Guinea yam), 107 nucleotides long. The record is from RefSeq and is a predicted model, not a curated record. NCBI's taxonomy places the organism in Eukaryota, Viridiplantae, Streptophyta, Magnoliopsida, Dioscoreales, Dioscoreaceae.
AAACUAUGGUGAGGGAAUUUCCUCAAUAGGUCUUUGAACCUUUCAUGUGCUUUAAAAAGUAUUUCAGAAAUCACCUUGCUUGAUCAAGAAAUCUCUUGUCUCAGUCU